Molecule: long non-coding RNA, 664 nt
Filed under: Pan troglodytes (chimpanzee)
Lineage: Eukaryota; Metazoa; Chordata; Mammalia; Primates; Hominidae
Description: long non-coding RNA NONPTRT009911
Source: RNAcentral
GUGUAUGGAUGCCCUGGUGUGUGCGUGCCCUGGUGUAUGGGUGCCGUGGUGUGUCAGUGCCCUGGUGUGUGGGUGCUCUGGUGUGUGGGUUCUCUGGUGUGUGGGUGCUCUGGUGUACGGGUGCUGCAAUUCUAUCUAGUAUCAUCUCUGACCACAUGGAAGGAAACUAAAAAUCAGUAACAGGAGGAAUCUUGGAAAAUUCAUAAAUAGGUAGAAAUUAAACAGUAUUGCCCUGAACAAUCAAUGAAAGUGUUUGACUCACAGUUCCGCAUGGCUGGGGAGGCCUCAGAAGACUUACAAUCAUAGUAGAACGUAAAGGGGAAGCAAGGCACCUUCUUCAUAAGGUGGCAGGAAAGAGAAUGAAGGCAGGAGGAACUACCUACCACUUGUAGAACCAUCAGACCUUGUGAGAACCCACUCAGUAUCAUGAGAACAGCAUGGGGGAAACUUCCCCCAUGAUCCAGUCACCUCCACUUGUUCUCUCCCUUGACACGUGGGGAUCUGGACACCUCAGAAAUGAAAGGAUCAUAAGGGACUAUUAUGAACUAUUAUAUGCCAGAAAAUUGGACUACCUAGAGGAAAUGGUUAAAUUUGUGGAAAAAUACAACCUGCCAAGUUUGAGUCAGGAAAAAAUAGACUGAACUGACCAAAACCAAAUAGGGAC